UUGACCUCGGAUCAGGUAGGAAUACCCGCUGAACUUAAGCAUAUCAAUAAGCGGAGGAAAAGAAACCAACAGGGAUUGCCUCAGUAACGGCGAGUGAAGCGGCAACAGCUCAAAUUUGAAAUCUGGCGCAAGCCCGAGUUGUAAUUUGUAGAGGAUGCUUCUGGGCAGCGGCCGGUCUAAGUUCCUUGGAACAGGACGUCAUAGAGGGUGAGAAUCCCGUAUGCGACCGGUUGGCACCCGUCACGUAGCUCCUUCGACGAGUCGAGUUGUUUGGGAAUGCAGCUCUAAACGGGAGGUAAAUGUCUUCUAAAGCUAAAUAUUGGCCAGAGACCGAUAGCGCACAAGUAGAGUGAUCGAAAGAUGAAAAGCACUUUGGAAAGAGAGUUAAAAAGCACGUGAAAUUGUUGAAAGGGAAGCGCAAGCAAUCAGACUUGUCGGCGGUGUUCCCCCGGUCUUCUGACCGGGCUACUCGCCGCCGGCAGGCCAACAUCAUUUGGGCGCGCCGGAUAAAGACGUAAGGAAUGUGGCCCCCUCGGGGGUGUUAUAGCCUUGCGUGCAAUACGGUGUCGCCCGAGUGAGGUCCGCGCUUCGGCUAGGAUGUUGGCGUAAUGGUUGUUUGCGGCCCGUCUUGAAACACGGACCAAGGAGUCUAACAUCUAUGCGAGUGUUCGGGUGUCAAACCCCUACGCGUAAUGAAAGUGAACGGAGGUGGGAACGAAAGUGCACCAUCGACCGAUCCUGAUGUCUUCGGAUGGAUUUGAGUAAGAGCAUAGCUGUUGGGACCCGAAAGAUGGUGAACUAUGCCUGAAUAGGGUGAAGCCAGAGGAAACUCUGGUGGAGGCUCGCAGCGGUUCUGACGUGCAAAUCGAUCGUCAAAUUUGGGUAUAGGGGCGAAAGACUAAUCGAACCAUCUAGUAGCUGGUUC
This 925-nucleotide ribosomal RNA is filed under the name Readeriella callista. Its description in RNAcentral is "eukaryotic LSU rRNA". It matches the Rfam family "Eukaryotic large subunit ribosomal RNA", at positions 1 to 957 of the family's 3401-position model. Lineage: Eukaryota; Fungi; Ascomycota; Dothideomycetes; Mycosphaerellales; Mycosphaerellaceae. The record is from RNAcentral.